AAAAAACUCAUAUGGGAGGUGGACACAUAACAUAAGCCUUCUUAUUAUAUUUUACUAUAAGAAGGCUUCAUAUUAUGUGUCCACCUUUGAGUUCCCAUCAGGU
Molecule: microRNA precursor, 103 nt
Filed under: Haemonchus contortus (barber pole worm)
Lineage: Eukaryota; Metazoa; Nematoda; Chromadorea; Rhabditida; Trichostrongylidae
Description: microRNA hco-mir-5969 precursor
Source: miRBase by way of RNAcentral